GCUGGAGCUGGGGUGGAACCCCAGGUCAUGCCGGGAAUUCCAGCCAGGACAGCAGCUGACUGCAUUUCCUCUGUGUCAUAGUCAGCACCAGCUGCCCUGCAAAAUACCACCGACAGACACCUAUUUUCUGAGAGUUCAGAGGCUGGAAUGCUGGGAUCGGGGUGCCAGCCUGUGGGGUCCUGGUGAAGACCCUCUUUCUGGUUUGUAGCUGUGUUCUCACAUGGCACUGAGACAGAGCAAGCCCUCUGGCAUCUCUUCUUACAGGACCCUGAUCUUGUUAGGAAGGCUCCACCCUCAUGGCCCUAACUAACCCUAAUCACCUUUCCCCCCGAGACAAAAAUAUAGAUAUCGGAGGUUAGGGCUUCAAAUCUGAAUUUGAGGGGGACACGAGUAUUCAGUCUGUAGCACAGUGCCAUUGAAGCUGGGAGUUCUCCCAACCAGGUUCCUACUGACCUGUUUUCAGAACCCUUGGUGGCUCUGCCCCUGCAUCCUGGCUGCUGCCCCUGGUCACUCACCCUUCAGCUGGUUGCUCGGAGGAGCUGUUGCAGGAUGGGGGGAUUCUAGCAGCUUCCACCCUCGGCCUCAGCCUGGACCUCCUUCACGACAGAGUCUCCAGGGCCUAAGCAGAUGUCUGGUCACCACAACGGAAACUGAGAAGGAUUGCAGUUAGGAGCCACAGUGACCUGUGGUCUCUAGUCCGGAUGGCCCUGUGGGGAGCACUCGAGGAAGAAGAGGCUGACCGGCCCAAAGAGAUUUGCAGUUGAUGAUGUGCUGGCCAACUAAGUCCCAACACCCACGAAACUAUAAAAUGCAAAAGCACAAAGGCUUGGGGAAGAUGGCAAGUUAUAACAGAAUAAAGAAAGAUAUCAGGAGGAACAACUCCAGUUCCAGGAUCUUUUUCCAGAUAUUAGCUGGCAGUUCACCCCUCCUUCCACCUGUAGUACCAGCCAUUCAUGCCACUAUCCUGCCAACAGACUAUAGACACAAACUCAGGUUAAGAAUCGUUGCUGAUUUUUCUAAAAGAGAGACUUUGAUUCCAUUUUACUUCAUGCUGUAAACCUGUGUUUGGAGAAGACAAUGGCACCCCACUCCAGUACUCUUGCCUGGAAAAUCCCAUGGACGGAGGAGCCUGGUGGGCUGCAGUCCGUGGGGUGUCGAAGAGUCGGACACGACUGAGCGACCUCACUUUCACUUUUCACUUUCAUGCAUUGGAGAAGGAAAUGGCAACCCACUCCAGUGUUCUUGCCUGGAGAAUCCCAGGGAUGGUGGAGCCUGGUGGGCUGCCGUCUAUGGGGUUGCACAGAGUCGGACACGACUGAAGCAACUUAGCAGCAGCAGUAAACCUGUGGUGGGCAGUCGUGGGCCCCACUCAGUCACAGCACUGCAGGACGCAGAGACACAGGGGCUGCUGGAAGGUAUCAGACUGCUGACGGAGAGCCUAACUUUAUUUUCCUUCUUUCUUUUUUAAAGUCUUUAUUGACCUUGUUACAGUAUUGUUUCUGUUUUUUAUAUUUUGGUGUUUUGGCCAUGAGGCAUGUGGGAUCCUACCUUCCCGACUAGGGGUGGAACCCAUACCCCCGAGUAGGAAGGUGAAGUCUUCAGAGCUGGCCCAUCAGAGAAGUCCCUGGAGUUAUUUCUAAGUCAUCCUUUUAGAGAUCCAGGUCACAGGGCCUUUCACUCCUAAAUUCCUCUUAUAGUUUCAAGGACAACACAUCAGAAUAUUGUAUUGUUUAGAGACCGUCAUUGUCACUCGAAUGGACACGCGAUCUAAUGCUGUCCCGUGACCCAGAAGGUAGUGGGCUUGAAGGCUUUGACCCUGUAAAGGUGAUCAUAAGCUAAUCAAAAUUCUUCCUUCUGAAAUCUGGACUAAAUGACAUGUGAUCUCUUGGUGAGUGGGUAGUGAAAGGAGAAUUCACAAGCAGAGAAAGAGAGGCACAAACAGGAGACCACGUGAGUCAGAUAAGCUGGAGGCAAGGAGAAGACAAACUGAGCUGUGAGUGGUCCAUCUGCUCGCAUCCUUAUAAGACACCAACUUUCUCUUUAAGAGGAUGAAAUGCCUUGUUUUUGUUUUGAACAAUCAAAAAUGCUCCAAGCUUGUUUUCAUUCUAGUGUUCACAGUGAUUAGCAUAAGCUUGACACAAAGUAAGUCUUAAUGUUUAUGGAAAUAAAUAAUUCAUUUGUUUUCUCA
This is a long non-coding RNA of Bos indicus x Bos taurus (hybrid cattle), 2188 nucleotides long. The record is from Ensembl. NCBI's taxonomy places the organism in Eukaryota, Metazoa, Chordata, Mammalia, Artiodactyla, Bovidae.